RNAcentral lists this ribosomal RNA (472 nucleotides) under uncultured bacterium. Its description in RNAcentral is "bacterial SSU rRNA". It matches the Rfam family "Bacterial small subunit ribosomal RNA", at positions 45 to 522 of the family's 1533-position model. The record is from RNAcentral.
UGGAUUAGGCAUGCAAGUCGUACGCAUAGCUUCGGCUAUGAGUGGCGCAAGGGUGAGUAAUGCGAAGGUAACCAACCCUGGUGUUGGGCAUAGCCGCGGGAAACUGCGGGUAAUUCCCAGCGACGUCACGAGAUGGCAUCAUCUUGUGACCAAAGGUGUGAUUCCGCUCUAGGACGGGCCUUCGUGGUAUUAGGUAGUUGGUGAGGUAACGGCUCACCAAGCCGACGAUGCCUACCGGGUGUGAGAGCAUGACCCGGCACACUGGAACUGAGACACUGUCCAGACACCUACGGGUGGCUGCAGUCGAGAAUCUUCGGCAAUGGGCGAAAGCCUGACCGAGCGACGCCGCGUGAGGGAUUGAAGGCCUUCGGGUUGUAAACCUCUUUCGUAGAGGAGGAAGGGGCCGUGAAGAACGGUCUUUGACCUAUUCUAGGAAGAAGCUUGGGCUAAGUUCGUGCCAGCAGCCGCGGUA